AAAAUCUCACAUACAACAUCUCUUGUUUUUCCAACAUCCAUUAAACAUAAAAUGAAAAAAUUAGAAAUGAAACCAUAAACACAAACACAUUCUCUCCUUUUCACCUCACCUUUCAUGUAUUUUUCUACAUAAACACAAACACAUUCUCUCCUUCUCACCUCACCUUUCAUGUAUUUUUCAACUUGCUCGCCGUUAAAAAAGAAAAGAGUGUAUGGUAUUUUGAGACAUUACAUACAAAGGUGGUGGAUAAAUAUAUAUCAAUCUAAUAGAAAGCACACGUCGGAUUUAUUUCUGCAAGAUAUUUACAAUAAUCUUAUUCAAACUGACUCGCAAAUCGUUGUUAAGGGAGAUAUUUGGAGAAAGACUGAUCACCUAAAUCCUAUUAGAAGUCAAGGCACUAGGAGAUGGUAUAUACUCUGGUCAACAGAUUUUAAUGUUGACCAAGAAUAAAGACAUGGAGUGAUUAUUGUGGGAUACGGACAGCAAAUAGAAAAUAACAAAUUGAAGGUUAUUUCAAUUUCUCUUAGUUGAGCGCGCUUGGAUCAUCUCGGGCAUAGAGAAACAAGAAGGUGUCCUAUAAAUGCAACAGAUUUCAAUGUUGACCAAAAUGGAGUGAUUAUUGUGGGAUACGGACAACAAAUAGAAAAUAACAAAUUGAAGAAGCAUCGGUUGCUGAAGAAUUCUGUCAUGGAGACAAAUGGAGUGAUCAAGGUUACUUCAAAUUUGAAACAAGACUGUGUCUAGAUUAGAAAAUUUUGUCUUAGUUAUUUCAAAUUUGAUCGAGGUUAUUUCAAAUUUGAAACAAGACGGUGAUUAAGGUUAUUUCAAUUUCUCUUACGUUUGUGUCAUCUCGGGUAUAGAGAAACAAGACGGUGUCUAGAUUAGAAAACUUAACUUCUCUCUUUUAACCUACAAUAUAUUCUUCUUUUUCUCUUUUAAGCUAUGCAUCUAUUCCUUUUUCUUUUUUUUUU
Cicer arietinum (chickpea) is the source of this 971-nucleotide long non-coding RNA. RefSeq lists it as uncharacterized. Lineage: Eukaryota; Viridiplantae; Streptophyta; Magnoliopsida; Fabales; Fabaceae. The record is from RefSeq and is a predicted model, not a curated record.